This 493-nucleotide ribosomal RNA is filed under the name uncultured bacterium. Its description in RNAcentral is "partial 16S ribosomal RNA". It matches the Rfam family "Bacterial small subunit ribosomal RNA", at positions 28 to 507 of the family's 1533-position model. The record is from RNAcentral.
GACGAACGCUGGCGGUGUGCUUAACACAUGCAAGUGGUGCGACGAACCAGAGCUUGCUCUGGGGCAAAGCCGCGAACGGGUGAGUAACACGUGGGUAAUCUACCCCGAUGACUGGGACAACCCGAGGAAACUCGGGCUAAUACCGGAUGUUGUGCGGAGACAUAAGUCUCUUCACUAAAGGUAGCUUCGGCUUCCGCAUUGGGAGGGGCCCGCGGCCCAUUAGCUUGUUGGUGGGGUCAAGGCCUACCAAGGCAACGAUGGGUAGCUGGUCUGAGAGGACGAUCAGCCACACUGGGACUGAGACACGGCCCAGACUCCUACGGGAGGCAGCAGUGGGGAAUCUUGCGCAAUGCGCGAAAGCGUGACGCAGCAACACCGCGUGAGGGAAGAAGGCCUUAGGGUUGUAAACCUCUUUCAGAUGGGACGAAGGUUCUCCGGUGAAUAGCCGAGAGGAUUGACGGUACCGUCAGAAGAAGCUCCGGCUAACUACGUG